UGUAGGGGUUGGGUUGACCAUAGGGGACUCCUGCGACAACAGGCGGAGGCGGGUGACACCCGGAGCCACGUGAUAGGCCAAGAGACCCAGACCCAGGGCAAGAGGGUCCAACCCCUGUAAUUACCCCCUUCCCAUUUAAUUACCCCUUCCCAUUGUAAUUACCCCAUUCCCAUUGUAAUUACCUCAUUCCCAUUGUAAUUACCCCAUUCCCAUUGUAAUUACCCCUUUCCCAUUUAAUUACCCCUUCCCAUUGUAAUUACCCCAUUCCCAUUGUAAUUACCCCAUUCCCAUUGUAAUUAUCCCCUUCCCAUUGGAAUUACCCCCUUCCCAUUGGAAUUACCCCAUUCCCAUUGUAAUUACCCCAUUCCCAUUGUAAUUAUCCCCUUCCCAU
Molecule: long non-coding RNA, 391 nt
Organism: Pezoporus occidentalis (night parrot)
Lineage: Eukaryota; Metazoa; Chordata; Aves; Psittaciformes; Psittacidae
Exons: 3
Source: RefSeq, a predicted model, not a curated record